RNAcentral lists this long non-coding RNA (8112 nucleotides) under Coffea arabica (coffee). Its description in RNAcentral is "long non-coding RNA (CARA_LNC003589)". Lineage: Eukaryota; Viridiplantae; Streptophyta; Magnoliopsida; Gentianales; Rubiaceae. The record is from RNAcentral.
UAGAAAAGAAUUCAAGCUAGUUACUUGACGUUUGGACAAAUCUAAUGAAAUUCAGUUCAAUGCAAAAUCAUGCAAUUCAAACAGAGUGCAGAUAUAAGACCUAUGAAUCCUAAUUUAAACAUGAUUGUUAGAAUGUAGGUGAUAUAGAAUAACUCAGAUUACCAUAAAAUUGGAUGAAGAAGCUUUCAGAGUUGACUUUUGCAAAAAAAACGAAGGACAAAGAAAAGGCCUCAAUAAAAAAAUAUACAGAAAGGUUGAAAUGGAAACCGAACAAGUAACAGCUUACAUACCCCUUGCCAAGGAGCUUUUCCAUUUUCAGAUUGACCCUGGAAUCAACGAAGCUGAAGCUGUUAGCAUCAUUAUCAACAAAACAAAUCUAAAUGAGGGGAAACCAGAUCAAGGGACAAGUAGGAUAAUUGACGUGGAAGAAAAAAAUGUAAAUAAGGGGGUUGCUGCUAAAAAGUUGCUUAUUUUAUAAAUGAAGAACCAUUUGCUCAAAAAUGGAAAUUAAAGUUGAACAGAACAACAUUUGCAAACAACUAAACUUCAUUAUUUUAAUCACCUCUAGGAAAAGGAAAAGCAAGUCCCGAUGGUUGUAAUAAAGUAGUUAACUGACCUGACUUCCCAGAGAAGGAAUAACUUGAUGAACUAUCCACUGAGAGUCAACCACAUCAAUUUUCUCAUGUGCAGGCUACACAGGCAAAAUACACUUACAAUGAAACUGAUAAUACGCAGACAUCCAUUUGAAAUACAUACAUGUUUUCCAAUUUUAUCUGUUUUACAUGCCACUGUCCCGCAGAUCUCUCCUUCCAACAGGAAUAUGAAAAGCAGGUAGACAAGCCUUCUUUUCUAAAUCUUUCAAAUAAUACAGUGAUAAGAAACAAAUAAAACCACUGACCUCCACACAUCUCCUUAGUGCAAAAUCCAAUCCCCAACCAUGCACCAAAUCAUUCUAGAAAUGUUAUUGAAAGUAAAAAAUCAGCGUGAGCUCUAAGCUGGAAAGAACCAAGGCUAAUGAGAGCAGCUAAAAGCAAAAAUAGUUGGAGGUACAACAAGGCUUAAAACAUACGUAUACAAAUGACAAAGUUAGAGAAGGGAACCUGAAUCAUAUGCCAAACACAUCGCCAAGCAUCCCGCGAGAAAACAGGAGCCACAAUUUCCACAAAGCUGAAUUCAAAAAGGAAAAACACAAGGAAAAUUAGUUGAAGGUAAAUGUUGAAGCCACCCCAAUCCUUUAUACUUUUCUUAACUAUAUAUCUCCAUUUUAAGGGCCUGAGCAUAAAUCAUGGGUCAUAACUCAACCUACAAACACUACCAUAAAAUCAAAUUUUUCAACAAUAAGACGUGAUAUUGCUAUGAGAUGUCUUGUAGCUAAGCUCUUCUUUUUGGCAAUGGUCAACCUGAUGAAGAAAUAUGACCAUCAGAGAAAGUGAGCUUCUUGUUUCUGGCAAUUUCAACUUUCAAGCCAUGUAAAUAAACAAUAGUUUCCCAAGACAACAUUUUUGUUGUUUUUCAGUUUAAUAUUAUUAUUUUCUUGGGUUAAAGAGAUUGACCUUCGGAAAACCAAACAAUCAAUCUCUGGAAAAUUUAAAUCUUUGGAAAACCAAACAAUCACUCGGAAGAGAAAAAAACAAAUCCUUUUCAGGUUUGGAUUAUAAGAAAAUAAAAACAAGAAAAACAAACUGCAUGGCUCCCAAAUUGCCAUUCAGUCAAUCAAAAGAACAAUGUAUCAGUUCAAAACUACAAAAUUCAAUCUAUUAUGAUAAGUGAACCCUGCUCAAUUACAAUACAAUCUCAUCUCAUACUACCUGGGGUCAGUAACUUGCUAUCAUCUUCUUUCCCGCAGGUGUCUCUAAUAUCAGAAAAUAAUGUUUCUUCCAUUUAUCUCCUUUUUGAAUGCGAAGAAUUAGCAUAAAAGUCCUUAAAAAGUUAUUCAUAAAGAGGUUAACAUAUUUAGUUAACUCUACACUCAUGACUGUAAGCGUUGGUAGAUUUAUUAGUUUCAGAUACUAAAUGAUCCUCAGAUAUCCAUUAAAUAUAGAAGAGAUAAAAAUUCAGACAAAGCCAGCAAUUCUAAAGCCCAAACUGCUAGCCGAAAAAUCGUGGAAUUUUACACAAAUUAUACCAAAACCUCCAAUUCUCUUAGCUAAAUAUAAUAAAUUACCAAAAUUUACGAAACCCACAAUGGGUAUUAGGGCAAAAUAAUUCCCAAGGUCGGUUUUUUUCUUGAAGUGGUUCGAUUAUUAAAGAGGGGAAACAACGAAAGAGAACAAGAUUUCCUAAUGUUGUGCACCAAUUAAGGACGAUAUACUACUACUCCGUUGAAAUGUAGAUAGAAAUUCAGAUUAAUUGAAACAAAAGAAAAAAGAGCGCGAAAGAGAGAGAUUGAGAUAUUGAGAGAAGGAAGAAAGUUGAAGAAAAUAUACCUCCGGUUGCAAGGUUAUUCUCGGUCUGAAGAACCGCGAUACUCUGCAUCUUGGACGCCAUCGUACCUUCUCUUCUAUCUAUCUCCCUGAGAUUAGCUUUCCUUUUUCAGUUCAGAAACUUCUACUGCGGAUUCCGUCUGUAAGUAGUAGAGAGCUACAUUAGAAGAUGUGGCUGGAAUUUGAUGAUGGGGAGGAGAGGGAAAGACAAGUAAAGAGGGGCAGCCAAACAAACGGCUUCCAGAGUCCAAAUCCCAGCUACCAAAGAAAUCACAAACCAGUCUCCUAAAAGCAAUGAAAAAAAUGCUUGCACAACAAAACACAAGAACCAUUAGCAUCAAACAAGUUUUUACAGAGGAGGAGAAAAACAUGAAUACAGAGCAACCUGAAGAGAAGACCCGACCUCACUGGAGAGAAAGAAGAAAGCACAAGAUCUGCAACCAACAGUGAAGAUGGCACGUCCUUGGGCGGUAACAAGCCCGUGGAUGAGAAAAAAAAGAGAAAACUGCACGUCAGUGGACAAGGGACAAAAGAAAUACGAACUUUAGCCAAAAAAAAAAAAACAAAAAAAACAAAAAGAGGGGCAGACCAGAGGUAACCCGAAGAGAAGAUCUGACCUCACCGGAGAUGAAGAAGAAAGCCUAUUACAACAAAACAAAGGAGGAGGUCAACAAAAUUUUGUACCAGGUUCCAGAGGAUGCGGAUAAGUGAUAGAGCAACAUUAUCCCAAAAAAAACCAAAAAAAGAAAGAAAGAGAAUGUAAUGGGAGAGAGAAUGCAGCGGGAAGAGAGCAAAUGCAGCAGAAGAUCAGAAAGACGGAAGCACGGGCACAUGGGACACUGGCAGGCGAGGCCAGAUGGGAAAACUAACGCGCGAUGCGCGAACAACAUGAUGAUUCCAAUCCACAUGCCGGGCACGUGAGAGGACGACGAAAAUUCUGGCUGAAUGGAGUUGCCAUGUUAUCUACUUAUGUUGACUAGGAGGCAAUAACGCGCUUCGCGCGAUAGUAAUGUAAAAUGCCCAUUCCAUUUCUGAAGUAAGAAAAAUAACAUUUCAUUUAGAAAUGUACAUUUUUUAGUAUAUAUAUACCAUGAGUCUGAAGGUUUGUUGAUAUUUCUUGGCUACAAACUUUCAUGGAAGUUGCUAAAUUUCUAAAUUUAAUGGAAGUGCUUUGGAACCUCCAAAGCCUGAAUUUCUAAAUUUUGCUAAACUUCCAAAGUCUGAAAUGCAAAUUUAAAUUUCUAAAUUUUUAAUAGGAACUUCCAAACUCUGAAGUUUUGUUAAUGCAAAUUUAAUGGAGCAUUUUUCUAAAUUUAAUAUAUACCAGCCAUUUGUUUUUUGUAACCAAAGGUAGGAUCAACUUUAUUGCUAAACAUCAAAGUUUAAUAAGUAAUGCCGUUGGAACAUCCAUUAUGAAAGCUUCAAUUGUUGUUUACAACAGUAGGAACUUGCUAAACAUUAAAUUUGCAGUGCUUUGGAAGCAUUUUUCUAACCAGAACUUUUUUCCAUUAAGAACAUAAAUACAACAAAUGCCGUGCAUUGCGUUGAAGCAGAAUCAACGUAAAUCAGAUGUGCCAUCAAAUGGAAAAUGCAAACUGCCAUAGAAACAACUUCUCUAUUCCUUUGCGGUCAAACACCAGCACAACAAAGGGAGUCUUGGAUUGUGGAAUAAAAAGCAAUAUCUGGCCAUUUUUUAGAUCAUGAUCAAUAACAAAACGGUUCCAGUUUUGAUCAAAACAUCUGCCGGUCAUACCAACAUGAUAAUAUUUAUGACUAUUUGUAAGAGUUAUAGUCGUCGUACUAUCUUCAUUUAGCCUUAGAUUCGCAAAUUCUGGUAGAUCCUAUAAAUGUAUGAAAAAAAAUUGUGAUAAGUAAAUACACAUAUGUACAAAAGAAAGAGAGUUAAUAAGGUUAGAGAAUGCAAAACUAUACCAGCUUGUACUUGUACUUUGAUAGAUAAAAUUGAUAGAAGCAAUUGAAUGUAGUCCAGUCAUGUUUUAGGAAUGGAUUCAUAGAUGAGACAAUACGAUGGAGAACUGAUUCUGAGAUUUCAUGAUCUGUUUAUAAAGUAACAAAAGAAACCAUAUCAGCCAUAAUAAAUACCGUCUAAGCAAAAAAUAUAUAUAUAAUGGUAGUAAUAAAUACCGGAUUCUAGGACCUCAUGAAUUGUCCUUAGUCCUUGUAAGGAAGUAAUGGUAGUAAAACAAUCCUUUCAUCACGGCUGUUGCUCUUGUCUUCUCAGCGAAUUUUCGUCUUUGGAGGCCAGAGAAGCUUGAAAUACACAAAGUGAAAUUCAAUAAGACAUUUCACACUAAAAAUGACAUUAGUUGUUUUGUAUAUAAGAAUGACAUUAAUUGUUUUGUAUAUAAGAAGUCAUUUUGUUUUAGACACAUUAACAAUUAUGAUAUACCCAACAUUUUUAUAGGUUAUUAUACCAACGUCAUAAAAAGAAAACCAAGACCUAAAUUGUGGAACUGAUUAUAAAUUAAUUACUGUGGAAAGUAUAUUUAAACUAUUAAUCUAAUCUAGGAUGAACACAAAAAAAUGAAUAAGUAAUGUGCAAAAAAAAGGUGGUCAAAGAAUUUAACUUAUUUCAGAAAUAAUGAACCAAAUAAAGAAUCAAUCUUAGGAAAGCUGUAUGGUCUCGUCUUACAUUAAUUUCAACUUUGUUCUCUAUAUGAUUUCUUGAUUCUUUACCCCAAAGUCUUUUUCUCCCAUCAAGAAUGCUUCAGAAAUUAUAUGAUCAAUACAUACCUAGCUAUUACAGAAUGGCAACAAACUGAAAUGGCAACAACCUAGCUAUUACAGAAUUUCUGUGCUUGAGUCCUCUAACAACUAUAACUACAUAAUACACAUUAACUAAAAAACAUCCAAUGAAACUGCACUCAUAAUCAAACGACAAUGCCUAACAUAGGACAGCAGAUUCCUUCCUCUUUACUGCUUGGCCACAUGAGCAGUCAGUUCAGAAUUCUGCAGCAAAAAAUUAGAAGCAUUCAAAAUCAUUCAAAAUAACCAAUGAAUUCCUAGUCUGCACACACUAUUUAUUCAGUCAAAAGCAUUCAAAAUCAUUCAAGAAGAAUAAGUGUAAUCAUUCAAAACAGCACUCACACAAGUAACUUAUGAAGAUGCCUUUAUACACAACACACCGAAGCAAAAGUAACAUCUCGCAGAAAGAACCAAACACAGAAGAACAUCAUUUACAGGAUAUAAAACAGCAUUUGUCAAAGUCUGAAACAAAAAGAAGUCUCUAAUACAAUUCAUCUUGCUUUAGCAUUCCAAUUGAUCACUUUCAGAAAAAUGAGCUAAAGUAAUAAAUUUCCACGAACAAUAGAAUAAGUUAGUAUAACAAAGAAAUCAUAAUCUCAAAUUCAGAGGCAAAAAACAAAAAAAAAAAAAAAGAACCCUUGUUUUGACAAAUAUAACAAGUAUGAUAAAAAACUGACAAAUGUUGUCAUGGAGCGGAAGACAUUUCAAAUUCAAUUAAGGAAAAAUAACUGGUACAGCCUUUUUUUAUUGUUUCCAUCCCACACAUCAACAUAACCAUCACAACCUCAAGUAGCAAAUGUACCAUAGCUACAAAUCAAAAUCAGUUUUGAGACAGAUUUUGGCAAAAAGCUCAAGGUAUUCAAUCAAUAGAUAAUUGUAAUAGAUCCAACUCAAUCACUCAAUAUAUCUAGAGUUGAUAAAUCAAGCACAUAGGCUUAUAAAUCAUUCAUGGAUACAUUGACAUUAUAAAUCAUUCUCUUUUGUUUGUUCCAUUCCAACUCAAUCAUUGACAUAGCUACCUUAAGAAUACAUGGAUCGGCUCCACUUAUCAAGUUCAAAAAAACAGAUGUUUCCUAAAGACGCAUAGUUAUGAUGAGAAGCUUGAAGGUCGUGAUUGCCUGGGGAAUAUCUAGAGUUGAAAAUUGGAAAUCAGGAAAGAUAAAUUCAGGUUCGAUCGCUUAUUCGUAAGCUGUUAAAGUUUUGAACUGUCCCCAUAAUUGAUUGUUUUUGCCUUGUUUCUGCAAUUAUCUCUCAUAUUUGUUUACAGUAAGCACCAUCACAUCAAGUAAAGAACACUUCUCUUGCACCCUAUAUCAAUCUAACAUGAUUCCAUCUGGUACUGAGACUACCAAAACCCAAGCUCGUAGCCCAAAGAACCUACAACACUUUGUUCACCAUAGCUGAAGACAUACUUGGAACAACUAAGGUACCAUAUACUUUCUUUUUUUUUUCAGUGCAUAGGCAGACACAAACAUAUAUAGUUAUAAUAAAUCACACACACCUCAAACAAAAAAGAAAUGAAUUCUUUCAUAUCUUGAUAAACACUUCAAAUGUAUACUAAUCCUAUGAACAACCAAGUAAAAUGACAUUGAUAUGGUAUGAAGAGACAUACACAUCAGCUUGCAUGUACACUUCAGAACCAAGAUUGAUCAAUGUCCUCAGACUGGUUACACUAUUUUCUCCAAUGUCUCUAUAUUUCUUUUCCAAUCAGAGCUACAAGAAGUUAAGAGAAAAAAAAAGUAAAGAAGCAUUGCAGGUCAAAGGGAACUUGUGCAAAGAAAUAGGAGUCAGAGCAAUAAAGGUGAGUAGUAUCAAUACCCAAAUGCAAGAAAACUUAGAAGGAUACAAAACUUUCUGUUGUUCAAAUACCUCGUUCCUGCAAAAGAGAUACCCAGAAUAUUAGAAAUUUGGCAUAUAACAGAAAUUCCGUCUCCAAAUUCGCAACUUAAUAGUGAAAUAUUAAACAUAAAGUAGGUAAGUACUCCAACUCAUAUAAUCCCACUACUGAUGGUAAUAAGCUCAAUAAAGUGGUAACAGGGGAUGGUUCUCCAAAUAACAACUGUAAGCGGGUGAGUUCAGUAUGAGGCAACCAACGGAUUCCCACCCACACCUCCCCGUCUCAAGAAAAUAGAAAAGGGCAAAAAAGGGCGAAAAAAAAUAGAAGGAAAAGAAAAAAGAAAGAAAAGGAAAUGAAUAUUGGCAAUAUGGGAGUCAAAUGAAGCAAAGUCUAAUCUAUUUAUACACAAAAAAGGAUCACUCUCUUCCAGUUUCAGAUCGUUAGUUUUCACUACUACAGGAAGUUCAGCUACCGCCCGCUAGAAGCAAAAAAAAAAAAAUUUUAAAGACAUCGAGUGAGAGAAUUGGGCUCCAAAACACCCUUCCGUACAAUGAUACAAAGAUGGAAAAAGGACAAAAGAAAAUGAAGAAAGUUACGGGUAAUAACCAGAAAUUAGCUAAUUCAAAGUCCUCCCAAACUGUUCAAUAUAUUUCUUAUCUGCAUUGGCUAGGCGAUCUUGAAACUGCACCCACUCACUUCUGCACCUCUCUCUUACCUACCAAAUUAGAUAGAAAAGAAUUCAAGCUAGUUACUUGACGUUUGGACAAAUCUAAUGAAAUUCAGUUCAAUGCAAAAUCAUGCAAUUCAAACAGAGUGCAGAUAUAAGACCUAUGAAUCCUAAUUUAAACAUGAUUGUUAGAAUGUAGGUGAUAUAGAAUAACUCAGAUUACCAUAAAAUUGGAUGAAGAAGCUUUCAGAGUUGACUUUUGCAAAAAAAACGAAGGACAAAGAAAAGGCCUCAAUAAAAAAAUAUACAGAAAGGUUGAAAUGGAAACCGAACAAGUAACAGCUUACAUACCCCUUGCCAAGGAGCUUUUCCAUUUUCAGAUUGACCCUGGAAUCAACGAAGCUGAAGCUGUUAGCAUC